GAUGAACGCUGGCGGCGUGCCUAAUACAUGCAAGUCGAGCGAACGGACGAGAAGCUUGCUUCUCUGAUGUUAGCGGCGGACGGGUGAGUAACACGUGGAUAACCUACCUAUAAGACUGGGAUAACUUCGGGAAACCGGAGCUAAUACCGGAUAAUAUUUUGAACCGCAUGGUUCAAAAGUGAAAGACGGUCUUGCUGUCACUUAUAGAUGGAUCCGCGCUGCAUUAGCUAGUUGGUAAGGUAACGGCUUACCAAGGCAACGAUGCAUAGCCGACCUGAGAGGGUGAUCGGCCACACUGGAACUGAGACACGGUCCAGACUCCUACGGGAGGCAGCAGUAGGGAAUCUUCCGCAAUGGGCGAAAGCCUGACGGAGCAACGCCGCGUGAGUGAUGAAGGUCUUCGGAUCGUAAAACUCUGUUAUUAGGGAAGAACAUAUGUGUAAGUAACUGUGCACAUCUUGACGGUACCUAAUCAGAAAGCCACGGCUAACUACGUGCCAGCAGCCGCGGUAAUACGUAGGUGGCAAGCGUUAUCCGGAAUUAUUGGGCGUAAAGCGCGCGUAGGCGGUUUUUUAAGUCUGAUGUGAAAGCCCACGGCUCAACCGUGGAGGGUCAUUGGAAACUGGAAAACUUGAGUGCAGAAGAGGAAAGUGGAAUUCCAUGUGUAGCGGUGAAAUGCGCAGAGAUAUGGAGGAACACCAGUGGCGAAGGCGACUUUCUGGUCUGUAACUGACGCUGAUGUGCGAAAGCGUGGGGAUCAAACAGGAUUAGAUACCCUGGUAGUCCACGCCGUAAACGAUGAGUGCUAAGUGUUAGGGGGUUUCCGCCCCUUAGUGCUGCAGCUAACGCAUUAAGCACUCCGCCUGGGGAGUACGACCGCAAGGUUGAAACUCAAAGGAAUUGACGGGGACCCGCACAAGCGGUGGAGCAUGUGGUUUAAUUCGAAGCAACGCGAAGAACCUUACCAAAUCUUGACAUCCUUUGACAACUCUAGAGAUAGAGCCUUCCCCUUCGGGGGACAAAGUGACAGGUGGUGCAUGGUUGUCGUCAGCUCGUGCCGUGAGAUGUUGGGUUAAGUCCCGCAACGAGCGCAACCCUUAAGCUUAGUUGCCAUCAUUAAGUUGGGCACUCUAAGUUGACUGCCGGUGACAAACCGGAGGAAGGUGGGGAUGACGUCAAAUCAUCAUGCCCCUUAUGAUUUGGGCUACACACGUGCUACAAUGGACAAUACAAAGGGCAGCGAGACCGCGAGGUCAAGCAAAUCCCAUAAAGUUGUUCUCAGUUCGGAUUGUAGUCUGCAACUCGACUACAUGAAGCUGGAAUCGCUAGUAAUCGUAGAUCAGCAUGCUACGGUGAAUACGUUCCCGGGUCU
This 1372-nucleotide ribosomal RNA is filed under the name uncultured bacterium. RNAcentral's name for it is "bacterial SSU rRNA". It matches the Rfam family "Bacterial small subunit ribosomal RNA", at positions 28 to 1381 of the family's 1533-position model. The record is from RNAcentral.